GGCGGAUCAGUCAGUCUNUCUUAAAAGUUCGGGGCUUAACCCCGUGAUGGGAUGGAAACUGCUGAUCUAGAGUAUNGGAGAGGAAAGUGGAAUUCCUAGUGUAGCGGUGAAAUGCGUAGAUAUUAGGAAGAACACCAGUGGCGAAGGCGACUUUCUGGACGAAAACUGACGCUGAGGCGCGAAAGCCAGGGGAGCGAACGGGAUUAGAUACCCCGGUAGUCCUGNCCGUAAACGAUGGGUACUAGGUGUAGGAGGUAUCGACCCNUUCUGUGCCGGAGUUAACGCAAUAAGUACCCCGCCUGGGGAGUACGACCGCAAGGUUGAAACUCAAAGGAAUUGACGGGGGCCCGCACAAGCGGUGGAGUAUGUGGUUUAAUUCGACGCAACGCGAAGAACCUUACCAGGUCUUGACAUUGAUGGACAGAACCAGAGAUGGUUCCUCUUCUUCGGAAGCCAGAAAACAGGUGGUGCACGGUUGUCGUCAGCUCGUGUCGUGAGAUGUUGGGUUAAGUCCCGCAACGAGCGCAACCCCUAUCUUAUGUUGCCAGCACUUUGGGUGGGGACUCAUGAGAGACUGCCGCAGACAAUGCGGAGGAAGGCGGGGAUGACGUCAAAUCAUCAUGCCCCUUAUGACCUGGGCUACACACGUACUACAAUGGGAGUUAAUAGACGGAAGCGAGAUCGCGAGAUGGAGCAAACCCGAGAAACACUCUCUCAGUUCGGAUCGUAGGCUGCAACUCGCCUACGUGAAGUCGGAAUCGCUAGUAAUCGCAGGUCAGCAUACUGCGGUGAAUACGUUCCCGGGCCUUGUNC
Molecule: ribosomal RNA, 813 nt
Filed under: uncultured bacterium
Lineage: Bacteria
Description: bacterial SSU rRNA
Rfam family: Bacterial small subunit ribosomal RNA
Source: RNAcentral